This 639-nucleotide ribosomal RNA is filed under the name uncultured Actinomycetes bacterium. RNAcentral's name for it is "bacterial SSU rRNA". It matches the Rfam family "Bacterial small subunit ribosomal RNA", at positions 232 to 886 of the family's 1533-position model. The record is from RNAcentral. Lineage: Bacteria; Bacillati; Actinomycetota; Actinomycetes.
CGCGGCCUAUCAGCUUGUUGGUGAGGUAACGGCUCACCAAGGCGACGACGGGUAGCCGGCCUGAGAGGGCGACCGGCCACACUGGGACUGAGAUACGGCCCAGACUCCUACGGGAGGCAGCAGUGGGGAAUAUUGCGCAAUGGGCGAAAGCCUGACGCAGCAACGCCGCGUGCGGGAUGACGGCCUUCGGGUUGUAAACCGCUUUCAGCAGGGACGAAACUGACGGUACCUGCAGAAGAAGCACCGGCUAACUACGUGCCAGCAGCCGCGGUGAUACGUAGGGUGCGAGCGUUGUCCGGAAUUAUUGGGCGUAAAGAGCUCGUAGGCGGUCUGUCGCGUCGGAAGUGAAAACUCGGGGCUCAACCCCGAGCCUGCUUUCGAUACGGGCAGACUUGAGGAAUGUAGGGGAGAACGGAAUUCCUGGUGGAGCGGUGGAAUGCGCAGAUAUCAGGAGGAACACCAGUGGCGAAGGCGGUUCUCUGGACAUUAACUGACGCUGAGGAGCGAAAGCGUGGGGAGCAAACAGGCUUAGAUACCCUGGUAGUCCACGCCGUAAACGGUGGGCACUAGGUGUGGGGAACAUUCCACGUUCUCCGUGCCGUAGCUAACGCAUUAAGUGCCCCGCCUGGGGAGUACGGA